CAGAAUAAAAGCAGACCAGAUUUAUGUAGCAAAUCCAGUUUUGACCGUGGCCGCCUGGUGUGCUCUUAUUCUGAA
This is a non-coding RNA of Acyrthosiphon pisum (pea aphid), 75 nucleotides long. The record is from Rfam. Lineage: Eukaryota; Metazoa; Arthropoda; Insecta; Hemiptera; Aphididae.